GGCGGCGUGCUUAACACAUGCAAGUCGAACGAAGCACUCUAUUUGAUUUUCUUCGGAAAUGAAGAUUUUGUGACUGAGUGGCGGACGGGUGAGUAACGCGUGGGUAACCUGCCUCAUACAGGGGGAUAACAGUUGGAAACGACUGCUAAUACCGCAUAAGCGCACAGGAUUGCAUGAUCCGGUGUGAAAAACUCCGGUGGUAUGGGAUGGACCCGCGUCUGAUUAGCCAGUUGGCAGGGUAACGGCCUACCAAAGCGACGAUCAGUAGCCGACCUGAGAGGGUGACCGGCCACAUUGGGACUGAGACACGGCCCAAACUCCUACGGGAGGCAGCAGUGGGGAAUAUUGCACAAUGGGGGAAACCCUGAUGCAGCGACGCCGCGUGAGCGAAGAAGUAUUUCGGUAUGUAAAGCUCUAUCAGCAGGGAAGAAGAAUGACGGUACCUGACUAAGAAGCACCGGCUAAAUACGUGCCAGCAGCCGCGGUAAUACGUAUGGUGCAAGCGUUAUCCGGAUUUACUGGGUGUAAAGGGAGCGCAGGCGGUGCGGCAAGUCUGAUGUGAAAGCCCGGGGCUCAACCCCGGUACUGCAUUGGAAACUGUCGUACUAGAGUGUCGGAGGGGUAAGUGGAAUUCCUAGUGUAGCGGUGAAAUGCGUAGAUAUUAGGAGGAACACCAGUGGCGAAGGCGGCUUACU
RNAcentral lists this ribosomal RNA (695 nucleotides) under uncultured Lachnospiraceae bacterium. Its description in RNAcentral is "bacterial SSU rRNA". It matches the Rfam family "Bacterial small subunit ribosomal RNA", at positions 38 to 730 of the family's 1533-position model. Lineage: Bacteria; Bacillati; Bacillota; Clostridia; Lachnospirales; Lachnospiraceae. The record is from RNAcentral.